RNAcentral lists this ribosomal RNA (514 nucleotides) under uncultured bacterium. RNAcentral's name for it is "partial 16S ribosomal RNA". It matches the Rfam family "Bacterial small subunit ribosomal RNA", at positions 28 to 523 of the family's 1533-position model. The record is from RNAcentral.
GAUGAACGCUGGCGGCGUGCCUAAUACAUGCAAGUCGAGCGAACAGAUGAGAAGCUUGCUUCUCUGAUGUUAGCGGCGGACGGGUGAGUAACACGUGGGUAACCUACCUAUAAGACUGGGAUAACUCCGGGAAACCGGGGCUAAUACCGGAUAAUAUUUUGAACCGCAUGGUUCAAUAGUGAAAGACGGUUUCGGCUGUCACUUAUAGAUGGACCCGCGCCGUAUUAGCCAGUUGGUAAGGUAACGGCUUACCAAGGCGACGAUACGUAGCCGACCUGAGAGGGUGAUCGGCCACACUGGAACUGAGACACGGUCCAGACUCCUACGGGAGGCAGCAGUAGGGAAUCCUCCGCAAUGGGCGAAAGCCUGACGGAGCAACGCCGCGUGAGUGAUGAAGGUCUUCGGAUCGUAAAACUCUGUUGUCAGGGAAGAACAAAUUUGUUAGUAACUGAACAAGUCUUGACGGUACCUAACCAGAAAGCCACGGCUAACUACGUGCCAGCCGCCGCCGUAA